GCGGCAUGCCUNACACAUGCAAGNCGAACGGUAGAGGGGCAACCCUUGAGAGUGGCGAACGGGUGAGUAAUAUAUCGGAACGUGCCCAGUCGUGGGGGAUAACGCAGCGAAAGCUGCGCUAAUACCGCAUACGAUCUAAGGAUGAAAGCGGGGGAUCGCAAGACCUCGCGCGAUUGGAGCGGCCGAUAUCAGAUUAGGUAGUUGGUGGGGUAAAGGCCUACCAAGCCGACGAUCUGUAGCUGGUCUGAGAGGACGACCAGCCACACUGGGACUGAGACACGGCCCAGACUCCUACGGGAGGCAGCAGUGGGGAAUUUUGGACAAUGGGCGCAAGCCUGAUCCAGCAAUGCCGCGUGCAGGACGAAGGCCUUCGGGUUGUAAACUGCUUUUGUACGGAGCGAAACGGUCUGGGUUAAUACCCUGGGCU
RNAcentral lists this ribosomal RNA (427 nucleotides) under uncultured Acidovorax sp. RNAcentral describes it as "bacterial SSU rRNA". It matches the Rfam family "Bacterial small subunit ribosomal RNA", at positions 39 to 474 of the family's 1533-position model. The record is from RNAcentral. Lineage: Bacteria; Pseudomonadati; Pseudomonadota; Betaproteobacteria; Burkholderiales; Comamonadaceae.